GCGGCUGCUAUACUGCAAGUCGAACGCUUCUUUUUCCACCGGAGCUUGCUCCACCGGAAAAAGAAGAGUGGCGAACGGGUGAGUAACACGUGGGUAACCUGCCCAUCAGAAGGGGAUAACACUUGGAAACAGGUGCUAAUACCGUAUAACAAUCAAAACCGCAUGGUUUUGAUUUGAAAGGCGCUUUCGGGUGUCGCUGAUGGAUGGACCCGCGGUGCAUUAGCUAGUUGGUGAGGUAACGGCUCACCAAGGCCACGAUGCAUAGCCGACCUGAGAGGGUGAUCGGCCACAUUGGGACUGAGACACGGCCCAAACUCCUACGGGAGGCAGCAGUAGGGAAUCUUCGGCAAUGGACGAAAGUCUGACCGAGCAACGCCGCGUGAGUGAAGAAGGUUUUCGGAUCGUAAAACUCUGUUGUUAGAGAAGAACAAGGAUGAGAGUAACUGUUCAUCCCUUGACGGUAUCUAACCAGAAAGCCACGGCUAACUACGUGCCAGCAGCCGCGGUAAUACGUAGGUGGCAAGCGUUGUCCGGAUUUAUUGGGCGUAAAGCGAGCGCAGGCGGUUUCUUAAGUCUGAUGUGAAAGCCCCCGGCUCAACCGGGGAGGGUCAUUGGAAACUGGGAGACUUGAGUGCAGAAGAGGAGAGUGGAAUUCCAUGUGUAGCGGUGAAAUGCGUAGAUAUAUGGAGGAACACCAGUGGCGAAGGCGGCUCUCUGGUCUGUAACUGACGCUGAGGCUCGAAAGCGUGGGGAGCAAACAGGAUUAGAUACCCUGGUAGUCCACGCCGUAAACGAUGAGUGCUAAGUGUUGGAGGGUUUCCGCCCUUCAGUGCUGCAGCUAACGCAUUAAGCACUCCGCCUGGGGAGUACGACCGCAAGGUUGAAACUCAAAGGAAUUGACGGGGGCCCGCACAAGCGGUGGAGCAUGUGGUUUAAUUCGAAGCAACGCGAAGAACCUUACCAGGUCUUGACAUCCUUUGACCACUCUAGAGAUAGAGCUUCCCCUUUCGGGGGCAAAGUGACAGGGUGGAUGCAUGAUUGUCGUCAGCUCGUGUCGUGAGAUGAUGGGAUUAAGUCCCGCAACGAGCGCAUCCAUAUGAUAGGUGCCCAUCAUUCAGCUUGGG
This 1124-nucleotide ribosomal RNA is filed under the name Enterococcus faecium. Its description in RNAcentral is "bacterial SSU rRNA". It matches the Rfam family "Bacterial small subunit ribosomal RNA", at positions 39 to 1135 of the family's 1533-position model. Lineage: Bacteria; Bacillati; Bacillota; Bacilli; Lactobacillales; Enterococcaceae. The record is from RNAcentral.